AUGUGAUCCACCAGCAAGGAGGGACGCCAAUAAGGCAUCCAAUAAGAUAAGUCUUAUAAAAUAUAUAGAUUUAUGAUAGUUAAGACUGAGCUAGCAAAUGAGAAGUCCUAGUCAUUGGCCAAGCAGCAUUGUACCUAAUACAAGUUUCUGUGUAUUCAUUUGGGCCUAACUCGGGCAGGCGGCUGGCUUAAAGCUCACACGUGGUGGUGGAGCUCAGGCGCUUUUGGCAGAAAGAUUUAUUGUAACAUGGGAAAGGUGGGCAGAGAGAGGUGCCGAAAAGAGAUGCCAUGUAGCAAGGAAAAAGUAAUAGGUCCAGAUCCUUCUCCAGUAAGAUAGACCAUGUGGAAAUACAUAGAUUAAUAGAAAUGGGUUAAUAAUUAAGUCAAAGCUAGCCAGUAAGAAGUCCUAGCCAUUGGCCAACAGUUUUCUAACUAAUAUAUGUGUUUAUGUGGGGUUGAGAAGGGUGGCAGGACCUGGCAGGACAAGAAAAACUCCAGUUACAUUCUAGGAAUAAAAUUAUUCUGGGAAAUCUUAUAAUACUACACUUAAUCUCUCUCAUAUUGGGCUCACCAGCUGCUGAAGCAACAGUUUAAAAUUAAUAUCUUUAAAACUGGGCCUCAUUGAAGUUAAGAAUAGAAAACCAGAGGGUAUUUAAGAAUAGAAAAAUAUUGAGGGGAGUUUAAGGGUAAAUUUAGCUCACUGAAUUUGUCUUGUCCCGUCCCCUUGAAGGAAAAAAAAAAGGCCUCACAAUAUUAUUAAAUGAAGUAAACAUCAAAACUAUGCAAGAAAAACACCUUUCUGAAGGACACAGCCUGCCCUGGAGUGGAGCAGAACCCACCAUAAUGACUGUCCUUCCAUUCACUCCUCCAUGGUGACACUUACACAGUUGUUUGUUAGUCACUUUAUUCUAAGCAGCAGCAGUGAUUUUGUUGUUGGAGAUACAAGCUGCAGCAGGAUGCAGAAGCUGAGCUAUUAUGGGUGCUCUAGAAGAUGAGUUGUUCAUCAUCUCUGAGUCAGAAGCUUACACUGGUCCAACUGAGAAACUGAAAGGAGCCAAGGUUCCUAUCUCCACAGACACAUAUAGUCUCAGGCUUCACACAUUCACGGCCCUGGCCACGCCUAUUAAGAAAUGAUCCAGUAAGGUUGGAAAGAUGGCUCGGUGAUUAAGGACACUUGUUGCUCUUCCAGAGCACUUGGGUUCAGUUCCCACCUGACAGUUCACAACUAUCUGUAAUUCCAGUUUCCGGAGAUCUGACACACUCACACAGAAUACCAAUGCCCAUAAAACAAAAAUAAAUCCAGAA
RNAcentral lists this long non-coding RNA (1304 nucleotides) under Cricetulus griseus (Chinese hamster). Its description in RNAcentral is "lncRNA (ENSCGRG00015032246.1)". Lineage: Eukaryota; Metazoa; Chordata; Mammalia; Rodentia; Cricetidae. The record is from RNAcentral.